GCCGGAGUGGCGAAAUUGGUAAACGCAGUGGACUCAAAAUCCACCGAGGGCAACCUCCUGCCGGUUCGAGUCCGGCCUCCGGUACCA
Molecule: transfer RNA, 87 nt
Filed under: Sedimenticola sp.
Lineage: Bacteria; Pseudomonadati; Pseudomonadota; Gammaproteobacteria; Chromatiales; Sedimenticolaceae
Description: tRNA-Leu
Rfam family: tRNA
About the family: Transfer RNA (tRNA) molecules are approximately 80 nucleotides in length.
Source: RNAcentral